CAAAUCAGGUAGGAUUACCCGCUGAACUUAAGCAUAUCAAUAAGCGGAGGAAAAGAAACUAACAAGGAUUCCCCUAGUAACUGCGAGUGAAGCGGGAAAAGCUCAAAUUUAAAAUCUGGCGGUCUUUGGCCGUCCGAGUUGUAGUCUGGAGAAGUGCUUUCCGCGCUGGACCGUGUACAAGUCUCUUGGAACAGAGCGUCAUAGAGGGUGAGAAUCCCGUCUUUGACACGGACUACCAGUGCUUUGUGAUGUGCUCUCAAAGAGUCGAGUUGUUUGGGAAUGCAGCUCAAAAUGGGUGGUAAAUUCCAUCUAAAGCUAAAUAUUGGCGAGAGACCGAUAGCGAACAAGUACCGUGAGGGAAAGAUGAAAAGCACUUUGGAAAGAGAGUUAAACAGUACGUGAAAUUGCUGAAAGGGAAACGCUUGAAGUCAGUCGCGUUGGCCAGGACUCAGCCUUGCUUAUUUGCUUGGUGCAUUUUCUGGUUGACGGGCCAGCAUCGAUUUUGACCGCUGGAAAAAGAUUAGGGGAAUGUGGCACCUUCGGGUGUGUUAUAGCCCUUAGUCACAUACAGUGGUUGGGAUCGAGGACCGCAGCACGCCUUUAUGGCCGGGGUUCGCCCACGUUCGUGCUUAGGAUGCUGGCGUAAUGGCUUUAAACGACCCGUCUUGAAACACGGACCAAGGAGUCUAACAUGCCUGCGAGUGUUUGGGUGGAAAACCCGAGCGCGUAAUGAAAGUGAAAGUUGAGAUCCCUGUCGUGGGGGAGCAUCGACGCCCGGACCUGAACUUCGGUGAUGGAUCUGCGGUAGAGCAUGUAUGUUGGGACCCGAAAGAUGGUGAACUAUGCCUGAAUAGGGUGAAGCCAGAGGAAACUCUGGUGGAGGCUCGUAGCGAUUCUGACGUGCAAAUCGAUCGUCAAAUUUGGGUAUAGGGGCGAAAGACUAAUCGAACCAUCUAGUAGCUGGUUCCUGCCGAA
RNAcentral lists this ribosomal RNA (975 nucleotides) under Fomitopsis mounceae. RNAcentral's name for it is "partial large subunit ribosomal RNA". It matches the Rfam family "Eukaryotic large subunit ribosomal RNA", at positions 1 to 965 of the family's 3401-position model. The record is from RNAcentral. Lineage: Eukaryota; Fungi; Basidiomycota; Agaricomycetes; Polyporales; Fomitopsidaceae.